Xiphophorus couchianus (Monterrey platyfish) is the source of this 1812-nucleotide long non-coding RNA. RefSeq lists it as uncharacterized. NCBI's taxonomy places the organism in Eukaryota, Metazoa, Chordata, Actinopteri, Cyprinodontiformes, Poeciliidae. The transcript is spliced from 5 exons. The record is from RefSeq and is a predicted model, not a curated record.
CAGGAUGUAGAAUACCAUGUACAGAAAGAAUACCCCCCGCAGCUACAAGUACCUCCUGAACACAUCAACUCUACGACUCUCAUCUAUAAAACACUUCCUGUUGAGCCCUCUGAGUGGAACAGACCUGUGGUGAAAAUAAAAGUAGCCAAUCAGACGUUGAGCUGUUCAGCAAAAAUGUUCCACCGUCCAGACCCGCUGUUUAUCAACUUCAGAGCCAAGAGGACAGGAGAUAAUAUCAAAAUCACCAUACUGAAAAUGGAUGGAUGGAUGGAAAGACAAACUGAUGAUGACAACAGAAGAGUUGUCAAUAUGGGGCAUUAAGGACGACAAGCAGUAUCCCUGCAUCCUGCAGAAUGAAGAUGAUGAUGGUGAAACUACCCCUAGUUAUGAAUAUGGGAAACACAGUGACUUCGAAUAUGGAUCACAGAUUCUGGUCUGUGAGAUUCAAAACACAACCGAUGUCAUAUUUAAUCAGCUAAAGAUUAUGUAUGGAGAAACAAUAGUGCGGGUGUGGAAUCCAUCUUUAUUGCAUCAGGUCCUUCUCAUCCUGCGCCUGAUGUUCCUCCCCUCUGUUGCUGUUGUGCUGAUGAUCAUCUGUCAGUGCCAGAAGAGACGCGUCGUCCAGAAGACCAAGCUCUGAUCGUCUCUGCUGCGCCUCAGGAUCCCUCAGUAGUUUUCCAGCGGGUUUUCCAGCUUCCUCGAACGUCUGGGUGAAAUGCCAGAUGUUUCGGAUGGAAAACGUAACGAAGGCUUAAGACAGGCGUGAACAACAAAAAUGAAAACCUCGCAGAGUGUCAGUCAAAAAUAGUCAAGUUAGCAUAGCAUACAAUGCAACAAAAAAGCAAGUUCAGUCUUCCAGUGUCACUGGUUGACGGGGAAGUAAAUGUUAUAUAAUCUAAUUUGGACGUCCUGGUAGAGGAGGGAGAGAAGGGGAGUUGCAAAUGAAUGCCACGCUUCAGUUUUGUUUGUAAAAAGUUUGCUUUUGUAAAAAAAAACAUGCAUCUCUUCCGUUUCGCUUGACAACUAUGCACUGAUUUGUGUUUUAACAUGACAAAAUAUGACAACAUCAAGAACUAUAACUCUUGCAAAGCUCUGUAAGUUUACAGAUAUGCUGCAGAAGUUGUUUUUUUCCCCUCACACUGGUUAUAUCUUCUAUCACUUCCUGGCAACAACUGGAUGAUUUUAAUUGGUGAAAAAAUGUUUCCCACUAGUGUAAUGUACUUCAAGAAGCUGUUAUUUUGAAGCAUAGUCUUCCUGUAGUGACAGAUAUUGCUAAAUAUACACUCAAGAUUUCUAACCAGUACUAGUUAUACAUGCAUGUAUUUAUCUUGACAUCAGAUUAUGGUCACACCAUCAACAUUUCAGCAACUUCAUUUGCAUUUUUUCUAUCACCACAGAAGUUAGAGAUAAGACGCCUUUUGAAACAUUGCCACAAAUUAAACAGAACAUCAAAAAUAGUAUUUUAUCAUAUUUCCACUGCAUCCAGAUAAGCAUGUUAGUAGUUAUUGUUUUAAAUUAGAUUAAUCUAAAAAAAAAAAACCUGCUGCUUAGUGUGCUUUUCCUAAGCAAACGUCCGUCAUUACGCUGAUGAUACUCUGAUGUUUAUAACUGCUAAAUAAUUCUUUUGAAAAAAUAUAAUACAAGUCUGCCUGAUGAAUGGAUGGGUAAUCUGUAAUCAAGUUAGCGCUACAGUCUUUGUGAUGUUUUGGCCCCAAAUCUGGGCAUAGAUCUUUGUAACCUCGGUAACAACCAUGUGGAUCCAGUUUUAAAAUGCUGCAAAGAAAAAAUAAAAGUGUUUGCUCUGAACUCUUA